GGUGGGGGGGAGGGUCCCUCAGCCCAGAUUUUGAGAGGGAGCAGGCCAGGCCGAGGGACCCCACUUGUGCAUG
Molecule: microRNA precursor, 73 nt
Filed under: Myotis brandtii (Brandt's bat)
Lineage: Eukaryota; Metazoa; Chordata; Mammalia; Chiroptera; Vespertilionidae
Description: mir-9193 microRNA precursor family
Rfam family: mir-9193 microRNA precursor family
Source: Rfam by way of RNAcentral